This 253-nucleotide ribosomal RNA is filed under the name uncultured bacterium. RNAcentral describes it as "partial 16S ribosomal RNA". It matches the Rfam family "Bacterial small subunit ribosomal RNA", at positions 524 to 776 of the family's 1533-position model. The record is from RNAcentral.
GACGGGGGGAGCAAGCGUUGUUCGGAUUUACUGGGCGUAAAGGGCGCGUAGGCGGCGCAACAAGUCGAUUGUGAAAUCUCCGGGCUUAACUCGGAGCGGCCAAUCGAUACUGUCGUGCUAGAGUGCGGAAGGGGCUACUGGAAUUCUCGGUGUAGCGGUGAAAUGCGUAGAUAUCGAGAGGAACACCUGCGGCGAAGGCGGGUAGCUGGGCCGACACUGACGCUGAGGCGCGAAAGCUAGGGGAGCGAACGGG